Molecule: ribosomal RNA, 275 nt
Filed under: Blastocystis sp. subtype 5
Lineage: Eukaryota; Bigyra; Opalinata; Blastocystidae
Description: partial small subunit ribosomal RNA
Rfam family: Eukaryotic small subunit ribosomal RNA
Source: RNAcentral
UAAAUAAUUUUACUUUGAAACUGCGAAUGGCUCAUUAUAUCAGUUAUAGUUUAUUAGAAAUAUUUUACUACUUGGAUAACCGUAGUAAUUCUAGGGCUAAUACAUGAGUAAAACCUCAACUUCGGAAGAGGUGUGUUUAUUAGUAUGAAAACCAUAUAUCUUCGGAUAUAAUAGUGAGUAAUAAUAACCUUUCAUAUCGUAUGUCGUAAGAUAACGAUAGUUCUUUCAAGUUUCUGCCCUAUCAGCUUUCGAUGGUAGUAUAUGGGACUACCAUG